CAGGAUGCUGCUGUAUUAAUUGCUUUCCUGAUUUCUGCCGUGUUUCACGAGCUUUGCAUUGCUGUUCCCUGCCACAAGUUCAAGUUGUGGGCUUUUAUUGGAAUUAUGUUUCAGGUAAGGACUUAUUUUCCAUCUGAGAGGUUAUCACCUUUAGUGCUGUUGAAGGUACCUCUUGGAUCCUAUUCUAGUAUAAGAAAUGGUGAUUGCAUUGUAACCUUUUCACGCCGAGACAUUUACAAAUUAAAGAAGAAAAUUGAUAAUUAAGGAAAGCAUCUUUGUUCAGUAGUAUAUGGCUCGCUGCCACCAGAAACUCAAAUAAGGCAGGGAGAGCUAGAUAUGGGUCAAAUUUUCCUGUUGGAGAAGUAAUAUGCAUAGAUGCAGGGGAUCUACCCUUGCUUCAUUCAUCUUUAAACUCCCCAUUACCCACUUUAAAGGAAAACCAUGUUGAAGGGGAAAACAAAAUUAAUUAAGGUCACAAAUUUUGAAGAGCAAAUGUUAGCGAGUAAAAGUCAUAAACUUGUAGACAUGAUGACGAUAAACCAACUUGCUACUUACUAUUUCAACUCUCUUUUAUUUUUAUUUUUUUUUGCAAAAUUAGAUGAUAUAGUUCGAGGUUGUUAUGACUUAGACUAGUAUUAUGGUAUUUGCAAUGAUGAUAUAAUGUGAUUGUGGAUCUUACAUAAUACUUUAUAAAUCAAA
Molecule: long non-coding RNA, 699 nt
Organism: Arachis stenosperma
Lineage: Eukaryota; Viridiplantae; Streptophyta; Magnoliopsida; Fabales; Fabaceae
Exons: 5
Source: RefSeq, a predicted model, not a curated record